GACCCAGACUCCUACGGGAGGCAGCAGUGGGGAAUAUUGCACAAUGGGGGAAACCCUGAUGCAGCGACGCCGCGUGAGCGAUGAAGUAUUUCGGUAUGUAAAGCUCUAUCAGCAGGGAAGAAAAUGACGGUACCUGACUAAGAAGCCCCGGCUAACUACGUGCCAGCAGCCGCGGUAAUACGUAGGGGGCAAGCGUUAUCCGGAUUUACUGGGUGUAAAGGGAGCGUAGACGGCCGUUCAAGCCAGAUGUGAAAGCCCGGGGCUCAACCCCGGGACUGCAUUUGGAACUGUGGGGCUAGAGUGUCGGAGAGGCAGGCGGAAUUCCUAGUGUAGCGGUGAAAUGCGUAGAUAUUAGGAGGAACACCAGUGGCGAAGGCGGCCUGCUGGACGAUGACUGACGUUGAGGCUCGAAAGCGUGGGGAGCAAACAGGAUUAGAUACCCGGGUAC
Molecule: ribosomal RNA, 448 nt
Filed under: uncultured bacterium
Lineage: Bacteria
Description: bacterial SSU rRNA
Rfam family: Bacterial small subunit ribosomal RNA
Source: RNAcentral